Molecule: ribosomal RNA, 1528 nt
Filed under: Klebsiella pneumoniae UCI 26
Lineage: Bacteria; Pseudomonadati; Pseudomonadota; Gammaproteobacteria; Enterobacterales; Enterobacteriaceae
Description: bacterial SSU rRNA
Rfam family: Bacterial small subunit ribosomal RNA
Source: RNAcentral
AGAGUUUGAUCAUGGCUCAGAUUGAACGCUGGCGGCAGGCCUAACACAUGCAAGUCGAGCGGUAGCACAGAGAGCUUGCUCUCGGGUGACGAGCGGCGGACGGGUGAGUAAUGUCUGGGAAACUGCCUGAUGGAGGGGGAUAACUACUGGAAACGGUAGCUAAUACCGCAUAACGUCGCAAGACCAAAGUGGGGGACCUUCGGGCCUCAUGCCAUCAGAUGUGCCCAGAUGGGAUUAGCUAGUAGGUGGGGUAACGGCUCACCUAGGCGACGAUCCCUAGCUGGUCUGAGAGGAUGACCAGCCACACUGGAACUGAGACACGGUCCAGACUCCUACGGGAGGCAGCAGUGGGGAAUAUUGCACAAUGGGCGCAAGCCUGAUGCAGCCAUGCCGCGUGUGUGAAGAAGGCCUUCGGGUUGUAAAGCACUUUCAGCGGGGAGGAAGGCGUUAAGGUUAAUAACCUCAUCGAUUGACGUUACCCGCAGAAGAAGCACCGGCUAACUCCGUGCCAGCAGCCGCGGUAAUACGGAGGGUGCAAGCGUUAAUCGGAAUUACUGGGCGUAAAGCGCACGCAGGCGGUCUGUCAAGUCGGAUGUGAAAUCCCCGGGCUUAACCUGGGAACUGCAUUCGAAACUGGCAGGCUAGAGUCUUGUAGAGGGGGGUAGAAUUCCAGGUGUAGCGGUGAAAUGCGUAGAGAUCUGGAGGAAUACCGGUGGCGAAGGCGGCCCCCUGGACAAAGACUGACGCUCAGGUGCGAAAGCGUGGGGAGCAAACAGGAUUAGAUACCCUGGUAGUCCACGCCGUAAACGAUGUCGAUUUGGAGGUUGUGCCCUUGAGGCGUGGCUUCCGGAGCUAACGCGUUAAAUCGACCGCCUGGGGAGUACGGCCGCAAGGUUAAAACUCAAAUGAAUUGACGGGGGCCCGCACAAGCGGUGGAGCAUGUGGUUUAAUUCGAUGCAACGCGAAGAACCUUACCUGGCCUUGACAUCCACAGAACUUUCCAGAGAUGGAUUGGUGCCUUCGGGAACUGUGAGACAGGUGCUGCAUGGCUGUCGUCAGCUCGUGUUGUGAAAUGUUGGGUUAAGUCCCGCAACGAGCGCAACCCUUAUCCUUUGUUGCCAGCGGUUAGGCCGGGAACUCAAAGGAGACUGCCAGUGAUAAACUGGAGGAAGGUGGGGAUGACGUCAAGUCAUCAUGGCCCUUACGACCAGGGCUACACACGUGCUACAAUGGCAUAUACAAAGAGAAGCGACCUCGCGAGAGCAAGCGGACCUCAUAAAGUAUGUCGUAGUCCGGAUUGGAGUCUGCAACUCGACUCCAUGAAGUCGGAAUCGCUAGUAAUCGUAGAUCAGAAUGCUACGGUGAAUACGUUCCCGGGCCUUGUACACACCGCCCGUCACACCAUGGGAGUGGGUUGCAAAAGAAGUAGGUAGCUUAACCUUCGGGAGGGCGCUUACCACUUUGUGAUUCAUGACUGGGGUGAAGUCGUAACAAGGUAACCGUAGGGGAACCUGCGGUUGGAUCACCU